GGGCCUGACUAGCUCAACUGGUGGAGCAUGGCAUGAAUGUUGCCAGGGUUAGGGGUUCGAUUCCCACUAGGACCGCCCA
Non-coding RNA from Merluccius polli (Benguela hake), 79 nucleotides. NCBI's taxonomy places the organism in Eukaryota, Metazoa, Chordata, Actinopteri, Gadiformes, Merlucciidae. The record is from the annotation of a GenBank genome assembly.